CAGCCGCCGCGGGAAUACGAAGGGGGCUAGCGUUGCUCGGAAUGACUGGGCGUAAAGGGCGCGUAGGCGGAUUGUUUAGUUAGGCGUGAAAUUCCUGGGCUUAACCUGGGGACUGCGCUUAAUACAGGCAGUCUAGAGUGAGGAAGAGGGUUGUGGAAUUCCCAGUGUAGAGGUGAAAUUCGUAGAUAUUGGGAAGAACACCGGUGGCGAAGGCGGCAACCUGGUCCUUGACUGACGCUGAGGCGCAAAAGCGUGGGGAGCAAACAGGAUUAGAGACCCCGGUAGUCCCUGUCUCUUAUAC
Molecule: ribosomal RNA, 301 nt
Filed under: uncultured bacterium
Lineage: Bacteria
Description: partial 16S ribosomal RNA
Rfam family: Bacterial small subunit ribosomal RNA
Source: RNAcentral